This 31-nucleotide non-coding RNA is filed under the name Mus musculus (house mouse). Lineage: Eukaryota; Metazoa; Chordata; Mammalia; Rodentia; Muridae. The record is from RNAcentral.
UGGCACAGUGUUCUAAGGCCUUCAGGGUGUU